This is a non-coding RNA of Acanthosepion pharaonis, 100 nucleotides long. Lineage: Eukaryota; Metazoa; Mollusca; Cephalopoda; Sepiida; Sepiidae. The record is from the annotation of a GenBank genome assembly.
UGUUGAAACAUCGGUUCCCGUACGAUCACCGAAGUUAAGCAACGUUGAACCAAGUCAGUUUCUAGAUGGGCGACCGCCUGAGAAUACCAGGUACUGUAAG